GGGGCAAUAGCUCAGCUGGGAGAGCGCUACAAUGGCAUUGUAGAGUUCACCGGUUCGAUCCCGGUUGGCUCCACCA
Molecule: transfer RNA, 76 nt
Filed under: Alphaproteobacteria bacterium
Lineage: Bacteria; Pseudomonadati; Pseudomonadota; Alphaproteobacteria
Also listed under: 1 other name
Description: tRNA-Ala
Rfam family: tRNA
About the family: Transfer RNA (tRNA) molecules are approximately 80 nucleotides in length. Their secondary structure includes four short double-helical elements and three loops (D, anti-codon, and T loops).
Source: RNAcentral